GUCUGCUUGGAGAUAUAAGAAGUCUAGCCUGCUCUCUGAUGUAUUUAAGGGCCGCGGUAACUUGACCGUGCAAAGGUAGCAUAAUAGUUAGUUUUUUAAUUGGGAUCUUGUAUGAAUGGUUGGACAAAAGAAAUACUGUCUCUAAGGCUUUAUUUGAAUUUAACUUUUAAGUGAAAAGGCUUAAAUUAAUUAAAAAGACGAUAAGACCCUAUAAAGCUUAAUAAAAUAUCUUGUUUGGCCUAGUUAGAAAAUAAAGUCCUUAUGAGUGAAUUUAUUAUGAAGGGGAGACAACAUUAUAAUUUUAAAUAGCUGCGGUGAAGUAAUACAAGUAUGGGUGUUUAUAUAUUAAAAGAUCCUUUUUAAAGAUUAAAAGUUUAAGUUACUUUAGGGAUAACAGCGUUAUUUUUCUUGAGAGUUCAUAUCGAAAGAAAAGAUUGCGACCUCGAUGUUGAAUUAAAAUUAUUUUUCUUGAGAGUUAGCUGCUAUAGAAGGUCUGUUCGACCUUUGAAUUUUUACAUGAUUUGAGUUCAGACCGGCGUGAGCCAGGUUGGUUUCUAUCUUUUAAUAAAAAAAAGUUAUUUUAGUACGAAAGGAUUUAGUAGCUGAAUUUUUUUCUUGGUUGAAG
This 625-nucleotide ribosomal RNA is filed under the name Pinnotheridae sp. 1 EPT-2016. Its description in RNAcentral is "partial 16S ribosomal RNA". It matches the Rfam family "Bacterial large subunit ribosomal RNA", at positions 1831 to 2726 of the family's 2925-position model. Lineage: Eukaryota; Metazoa; Arthropoda; Malacostraca; Decapoda; Pinnotheridae. The record is from RNAcentral.